CAAUGGUUAAAGUUGAAUGACUUGAAUUGUCAACACCAGAAUUCCAGAAACAGACACAUAUAUAAAAGGUGACAUCUUUUAUAAAAGCAUCUAUAUAUGUGUCGACAUACCAAACUCACUACUACCUUUCGUCUUUUUCUAUUAUUGUUUUCAUGAUUCAGUGGUUAAAUAAAGCCAACAUUCUAUUAAUAUUAUGUUUUAAUUCAUUUGUUGACACAGAAUCCAGUCAUCUAUUAAUUGUAUUUACUUUCU
Molecule: long non-coding RNA, 252 nt
Filed under: Lathyrus oleraceus (garden pea)
Lineage: Eukaryota; Viridiplantae; Streptophyta; Magnoliopsida; Fabales; Fabaceae
Description: Pisum sativum (pea) long non-coding RNA (PSAT_LNC028304)
Source: RNAcentral